GAACGCAGUAGCAAUACUGAGUGGCAGACGGGUGAGUAACAUGUGGGAAUCUGCCUUGUGGUUCAGGACAACAUUGGGAAACCGAUGCUAAUACUGGAUAAGCCCUUACGGGGAAAGUUUUAAUGCCAUAAGAUGAGCCCGCAUUUGAUUAGUUAGUUGGUGAGGUAAUGGCUCACCAAGACAAUGAUCAAUAGCUGAUCUGAGAGGAUGAUCAGCCACACUGGGACUGAGACACGGCCCAGACUCCUACGGGAGGCAGCAGUGGGGAAUCUUGCACAAUGGAGGAAACUCUGAUGCAGCGAUGCCGCGUGAGUGAAGAAGGCCUUUGGGUUGUAAAGCUCUUUUGUAGGGGAAGAUAAUGACUGUACCCUAAGAAUAAGGUCCGGCUAACUUCGUGCCAGCAGCCGCGGUAAUACGAAGGGACCUAGCGUAGUUCGGAAUUACUGGGCGUAAAGCGCGCGUAGGCCGUUGAGUUAGUUAAUUGUGAAAUCCCAAAGCUUAACUUUGGAACUGCAAUUAAAACUGCUCGACUAGAGUUUGAUAGAGGAAAGCGGAAUACAUAGUGUAGAGGUGAAAUUCGUAGAUAUUAUGUAGAACACCAGUUGCGAAGGCGGCUUUCUGGAUCAACGCU
RNAcentral lists this ribosomal RNA (631 nucleotides) under uncultured Pelagibacterales bacterium. Its description in RNAcentral is "bacterial SSU rRNA". It matches the Rfam family "Bacterial small subunit ribosomal RNA", at positions 64 to 741 of the family's 1533-position model. The record is from RNAcentral. Lineage: Bacteria; Pseudomonadati; Pseudomonadota; Alphaproteobacteria; Candidatus Pelagibacterales.